GUUUGUUUUUGCAAUUUUCAUCCUUCAAGCCUGCUGCCUAAAUAUUCUAAAUAUAUGUAUUACUGGAUCUACAGUGGCUCUGAUUCAUCCUCCCCUCCAUGACAGUGUAAUCUGGAUUAUCCUUAAAGAGCCAAUUACUAUCACCUCAGAGCAGGGACAAAGGAGAGAAAAGCUCCAGGGGAAGCCUCCAGACAGCUUUAGACAAUUAUUGCAAAGGAAAGCUCUGCCAAGACCUACAGAACUGUUUCUCAUCUCACUUGUAUCCUGCUUCUGGCCUCCGUGGUUUUCCUGUGACAUUUUAACUCAUUGCAGCUUAUCUGAUGGAUGA
Molecule: long non-coding RNA, 328 nt
Filed under: Falco tinnunculus (common kestrel)
Lineage: Eukaryota; Metazoa; Chordata; Aves; Falconiformes; Falconidae
Description: lncRNA (ENSFTIG00000007746.1)
Source: RNAcentral